RNAcentral lists this ribosomal RNA (497 nucleotides) under uncultured bacterium. RNAcentral's name for it is "partial 16S ribosomal RNA". It matches the Rfam family "Bacterial small subunit ribosomal RNA", at positions 28 to 507 of the family's 1533-position model. The record is from RNAcentral.
GAUGAACGCUGGCGGCGUGCCUAAUACAUGCAAGUCGAGCGAACAGACGAGGAGCUUGCUCCGCUGACGUUAGCGGCGGACGGGUGAGUAACACGUGGAUAACCUACCUAUAAGACUGGGAUAACUUCGGGAAACCGGAGCUAAUACCGGAUAAUAUAUUGAACCGCAUGGUUCAAUAGUGAAAGACGGUUUUGCUGUCACUAAUAGAUGGAUCCGCGCCGCAUUAGCUAGUUGGUAAGGUAACGGCUUACCAAGGCAACGAUGCGUAGCCGACCUGAGAGGAUGAUCGGCCACACUGGAACUGAGACACGGUCCAGACUCCUACGGGAGGCAGCAGUAGGGAAUCUUCCGCAAUGGGCGAAAGCCUGACGGAGCAACGCCGCGUGAGUGAUGAAGGUCUUCGGAUCGUAAAACUCUGUUAUUAGGGAAGAACAAAUGUGUAAGUAACUAUGCACGUCUUGACGGUACCUAAUCAGAAAGCCACGGCUAACUACGUG